This is a long non-coding RNA of Heterocephalus glaber (naked mole-rat), 5535 nucleotides long. The record is from Ensembl. Lineage: Eukaryota; Metazoa; Chordata; Mammalia; Rodentia; Bathyergidae.
UGUUGCUGGGGCAUGGGCUGAUUCAGCAUGUUCCGCGUGACUCGGGACCUCGGUAGGGUGUCUGCAGACCUGCCUGUCUGGAGCGGGCUGAUUCUGCGUGUUCCGCGUGACUCAGGACCUUGGUAGGGCGUGCCAAAUUUUGAUUUCUUAUUCCCACAUCCCAAAUACCAUCUUUCAGGAAUUUUGAAAUACCAAUACCCAGUGAAUCUUUUUAAUAAGAAAAAGUUGAGUGGGAACAGUAAAGUGUCAGUCUUCUUCCAAUGCCUAUAGGCUCAUGGUACUCAGUAAGUGUAGGGAGAAGUUGGGAAGCCACAUCUUCAAAAAAUGUGGGUGGUUCUUAGCUUUGACUCAUCAUUUAUAUUUGUAAAAUAUAAAUUUUAUAAAUUUUAGAAAACCGUACUGUUAAAGGAAUCAUGAGCUUUGACUAAAAGUAGUACUGCUUCAGAUUUAAAAUGAACCCUGGGACCUGCCUAUUAAGAGGAGGUAGCUAAGAAAUCUUCUUGGUCUCCAAAUAUAUCCUCCAAUGUCUACUCCAAGAUUGCAGAGAAGAUAAAAAUAAUUUCAAAAGGAAAGGUUUUCUAUCACUUCUCGGCCUUUUGGCUAAGAUCAAGUUUGGAAAGGUUUUCUAAAUGAUGAGAUCAAAAAUUAGGUUCUAAGGAAUUUUAUAUCCACAAAGUAGAGGGCUCUUGUAGCAUAGAAUUGUUUUAGACUAGUAACUGCUAUAUGUCUUCCAUCUUUCCAUUUUUCUAUCUCUGUUUCAACCACAUGUGUGUAGAAGACAGACUUUUUCUUAGAUUAACAGAUAAAGGAGAGAUUUAUAUAUACCAUACCCAGAUUUAGAGUCUACUGUUAGUGGACCUUGAACUUAAUGUUGUUGAUUCCAUGGAUCUCUUUUCAGAAGAGACAGCAUAUGUCCUGACAGAGAGAGAGGGAGCACUGAAUAAACUGUUGGCCAGAAAGGUGAGCUGUGAUAAUCAUUAGGAUUAUUCACCAUAGAAUAGUGGUUUGUCCCAGAGGAUCAGAUACAUAGCAGGAUUAUGGUUCUUAUGAUUGAAUGGAGUCAUAUGUGUCUGGUUCUUGAUUGUGAAUUGUGGGGAAAUAUAACAUGUCUCUUCUGAGCUGAAGCAUUAAAUGUGAGGCCUAGAUUUUUGUCUUUUCCUUGAUUGUCUUACUGGCAGUUUGAGAAGGUGGCUGUGUCAUCUGAGUUACUAGGAUUAACAGAAUAGUUAUCCUUCAACUUGCAGUGGGCAUUUAAAUGAAUGAGAAACCUCAAGUUCCAUCUAUUUAUGCAUAGAUGCCUCAAGUUUACCUUUCUUUAAAACUGUGUAGUACCCCAUUGUGUAUAAAUACAUUUUCCUUAUCCAUCUAAAACUACAAUGAGAUACCAUCUUACUCCAGAAAGAACGUCUAUCAUCAGAAAAUCUAAUAAUAACAAAUGCUGACAAGGAUGUGGGGAAAAGGAACUCUUCUGCAUUGUUGGUGGGAAUGUAAACUAGUACAACAAGGAUCAAGUAAUUUUCCAAGUAAAGAUAGUGUAUGUAUUCCUGGACAAAAUUCAAGAUAUGUAGAAGUGUUUUAAAAAAAAAUAUUGAGCAUCCACAGAAGAUUUGCAAUGUAUAGCUUUAAAUUAAAGGCUUAAGACAUAACAAAUAAGCAGCAAAACAUGAAAAUAAUGAGGAAAAUAGUCAAAACUGACACCAAUGUCAGUAUUAGCACAAGAUUAAAAAUUACUGUAUCUUCAGAAUGUUAAGACAGUAGGUAAAAAACUGGAAGAGCUAACCAAGAUAGUUCAAAACUUAAACAACAGAUUCAACAAGGAUGUGGAAUCCUCUAAAAGAUGUCAGAUGGAAAUACCUAAAGUAAACAGUAUAGAAUUCAUACACCCCAGAAAUGACCAUCAUGAACACAGAGUAUCAAAUAUUGAUGGCAAAAUAAUGCAUUAUGAUAAAAAGCUCAAAGAAGCCCAAAAAGAAAAUAAGAGAACAAGAGAAGACUAUCCAUCAGCUACUAGAUGACAACAAAAAACCUCAUGUAAGGCUAAUCAGAGAGAAGCUAGAAGACUACAUAGAUGGACUUACCAACAUGCUUACAGAAAUUAUUGAAGAAAAUUCCCCAAAUAUAAGAAAAGAGUUAAAAGUAUAAAUAAGUGAUGCUUAUAGAACACGAAACAAAUAUGAUAAAAGGAGUUCACCAAGGCAUAUUCUCAUUAAACUUGCAGAUACCCAGCAAAAACAAAACAACCAGAAUUUUAAAGGCAGCCAGAGAAAAACAAAAAAUCAUAUACAAAAGUAAACCAAUUAGAAUCACAGCAGACUUCUCAGCACAAACCCUCAAGGCCAGAAGAGCUUAGGGUGAAGUGUUUUAAGCCCUGAAAACAAAUAACUUCCAACCCAGAUUAACUUACCCAGCAAAACUGCCCUUCAAAAUAGAUGGAGAAAUAAGGCAUUUCUGUGAAAAGCACCAGCUCAGAACAUUUAUGAGUGCUAACCUAAUUCUAGAAAAAACACUCAAUAUUCUCAACAGAAACAUAGGACUGGACACCCCUAAAAACAGAGGAAACUAGUAAGGACACUGGAUAAACAACAAUAAAAACAACAGGAAAAAGGCCGGGGAUUUAGCUCAGUGGUUUCGCCGCCUGCUGCGCAAGCGCAAGUACCCAAGAUCGAUCCCCAGUACCAAAAAAAAACCAAAAAACAAAAAACAGGAAAAGUAAAAUAAUAUGCCAAGAGAUAAAGAAGACAAUGAUAAUAAAUAACCAACAUAUCUCAAUAAUAUUUAUCAAUGUUAAUGGCCUCAACUCUCCAACAAAAGACAGACUGAUAGACUGGAUCAAAAACAGAAUCCAACUAUCUGUUGGAUUCAAAAUAUUCAUCUAAUCCAAAAAUAUAUUCAAGACUAAAAAUUAAAGGAUGGGAAACAUUUCAUGCACCAGGACCCUGAAAACAAGAAGUAGCAGUUCUGAUAUUGACAUGGUAAAUUUCAAGUCAAAACUGAUUAGAAGAGACAAAGAAGGUCACUACAUGCUAGUUAAAGAAACAAUCUAACAAGAAGAGAUAACAUUGAUUAACAUAUAUGCACCAAAUACUGGAUCACCUAUCUUCAUAAAACAGUGCUGAAAUUAAAAGAUCAAAUAAACAUUAACACAAUCACAGUAGAUUUUAACACCCUACUUUCUCAAAGAAACAUCAACUGAACAAAACAUUUCAGAGCUGAACCACACCCUUGAACAUAUGUACUUAAUAAUAUAUUCCACCAAUCUACAACAGAGUAUACAUUCUUUUCAGCAGCACAUGGUACCUUUUUUGAAAUAGAUCACAUACUAGUCCACAAAGCCUGCUUAAGUAAAUAUAAAAGUAUGAAAUUACCCCAUGCUUACUAUCUUACCACUGGGCAAUGAAAAUAGAAAUCAAUGACAAGAAAAUUUGGAAAAGGCGAAAGCUCCUGGAAAAUGAACAAUAUACUCCUAAAUAACCAAUGGGUCACAGAAGAAAUCAAAGAAGAAAUUAAACAUUUUCUGAAGGUUAAUGACUGGAACUCAACAAUACCUUUGGGACACUUUGAAUGCAGUUCUAAGAGGAAUAUUCAUUGCAAUUAAUGCUCACAUUUGGAAAACAGAGCAAGCCCUGUUGGGUACUAGGCUACGUAACUCAGAUCUCAGUCUCAAGGUCCAUGUUAUCUUGCCUCAGGAACAGGAAAGUAUGUGGAAGGCCACAUACCCCUUGGCUAUGAGUGGAAUGCUGAUAACCAGUAACCUGGCACUCCUGAGGCAAGACAGCUUCUGCUGAGGACAGUUGUCAAUACACAGGCAGUUGGGUGUACAGAAAGUUUUGUUCCUUAUUAACUUUACCCACCCAUUCUCUAAGGUGCUGUUCCCUGAAACUCACGCUGCCCCUCCCCUGCGCUCCUCAUUGCCUAAUAAAAGCUGGUCCGCUGUGGAGCUCAGGUCUGUCCACUACAGGCAAGCAGGUCUCCUUCUGGUCCCCCUAUAUCUUGAAAAUUGUCCCUGUCUCUUUCUUUUCAUUCUUCAUUGUUCCCUGCAAAAGGAUAGCUGAGGGUCUAAUCAGCCCUCGGUAAUUGGGACCUCAGAACAGGGACUCUGAGACCUGAAGGGGAAGACCUACUGAAGUGCGAAAGGAACAGAAACAGAUGUUGGGGAACUCCAUGGGAUGAAUCCAGAAGCCAGCUGUUUAAAAAGGUGAAACAUUGCUUCACUCACUUUUGGAACUUCAGAAAGCACUGGAUUAGAUCUUUCCGCAGCCCAGAGAGUAAUGCUUAGGGGAGGUAAGCCUGUGAGAUACCCAUGGAGAUGUGGAGAUCUGGGGACCACUCCCCAGGGUAUUGUUGGAUUAAUUAUGAGUAAAAGUAGUCUAAAUUUGCAAGGUAUAACUGUGAUGCCUGGGGUAAUUGAUUCUGAUUAUGAUGGAGAAAUCCAAGUUGUAGCUCAUUCUUUUGAUGUUUGAGUUUUUGAGCCAAGUGAUUAGGUUGCUCAGUUGAUAUUUCUUCCUAUUGUAGGGGUUACCACAAUACAAUACAGGAAGCAGCAAGGAAAAGAAGGGGGCUUUGGUAGUAUCCCAAGUAAAGAAAUUUAUUUUACCCAAGAAUUAGGCGAGGGAAGACCUAUGUGUAGAAUGAAAAUAAAGGACAAAAAUUUUUUUUUUGAACUGGGUAUUAAACUUGGGACCUUGGUCUUGCAAAGCAGGCGGUGGAACCACUGAGCUAAAUCCCCAGCCAAAGGACAAAUAUUUUGAAGGAUUCUUAGAUCCAGAAGCCAAUGUGUCUGUUCUGGCCAUUGAACAAUGGCCUCCCCACUAGCCCCCUAAGGCUGCUGCCACCUUGUUAGUAGGGCUUGGCUUGCCUCAACAUAUAUUGCAAAUGUAACUCCCGUACCUUACUCAGGGCCAGAAAAUCAAGCUAGUACCUUUCAACCUUAUGUGGCUCUCAUUCUGGUAAAUUUAUGGGGAAGAGAUCUCGUAAAGGAAUGGAGAAUUAUGCUAAUGAACCUAUUGAUGUGGCAAAACCAAUUAUGGAAAAGAUGGGAUAUCAUUCAGACUUUGCAAGGUAAUCCCAAACUGCUAUCAGUUACUCCUAGAUUAGACUGUAUGGGUGUAGAAUGACCCUUUUUGAUAGGGGUCAUUGAUGCUUCUUCUCCCAGGGCAGCUUUUCUACUUCAAGGGAAAACAGAUAUCCCAGUCUAGGUGGAUUAGUGGCCCCUAAAUAAAGAGAAGCUAAAACACUUAAGUGCAAGAACAUAUCUAAUUAGGGCACUUAGAACCAUCUACCAGUCCCUGGAACACUACUGUGUUCAUGAUUCCAAAGAAAUCUGGAAAGUGGAGAUUAUUACAAGAUUUAAGAGAAGUAAAUGCUUGUUUACAGCCAAUAGAAGAUUUACAGCCUGGUCUCCCAUCUCCUGCAGCUGUUCCCUGAGAGUGGCUGUUGAUUGUUACCGAUCUAAAAGACUGUUUCUUUAUAAUUCCCUUACGCCCACCUGAUCACCAGUAUUUUGUUUUCUGUACUCAGUAUUAACUUUAAAGAACC